GCUGUCGUCAGCUCGUGUUGUGAAAUGUUGGGUUAAGUCCCGCAACGAGCGCAACCCUUAUCCUUUGUUGCCAGCGGUCCGGCCGGGAACUCAAAGGAGACUGCCAGUGAUAAACUGGAGGAAGGUGGGGAUGACGUCAAGUCAUCAUGGCCCUUACGACCAGGGCUACACACGUGCUACAAUGGCGCAUACAAAGAGAAGCGACCUCGCGAGAGCAAGCGGACCUCAUAAAGUGCGUCGUAGUCCGGACUGGAGUCUGCAACUCGACUCCAUGAAGUCGGAAUCGCUAGUAAUCGUGGAUCAGAAUGCCACGGUGAAUACGUUCCCGGGCCUUGUACACACCGCCCGUCACACCAUGGGAGUGGGUUGCAAA
RNAcentral lists this ribosomal RNA (373 nucleotides) under Salmonella enterica. Its description in RNAcentral is "bacterial SSU rRNA". It matches the Rfam family "Bacterial small subunit ribosomal RNA", at positions 1048 to 1421 of the family's 1533-position model. RNAcentral also lists the same sequence under 1 other name. Lineage: Bacteria; Pseudomonadati; Pseudomonadota; Gammaproteobacteria; Enterobacterales; Enterobacteriaceae. The record is from RNAcentral.